UACGGGAGGCAGCAGUGAGGAAUAUUGGGCAAUGCUCGAAAGAGUGACCCAGCAACGCCGCGUGGAGGAUGAAGGUAUUCUAUAUCGUAAACUCCUGUGAGAGCAGACGAAAGACAGAUUAUUAAUCUGGAUGACUGUAUGCUCAGAGGAAGCCCCGGCUAACUACGUGCCAGCAGCCGCGGUAAUA
This 187-nucleotide ribosomal RNA is filed under the name uncultured bacterium. Its description in RNAcentral is "partial 16S ribosomal RNA". It matches the Rfam family "Bacterial small subunit ribosomal RNA", at positions 340 to 525 of the family's 1533-position model. The record is from RNAcentral.